RNAcentral lists this ribosomal RNA (40 nucleotides) under Ascaris lumbricoides (common roundworm). RNAcentral's name for it is "12S ribosomal RNA". The record is from RNAcentral. Lineage: Eukaryota; Metazoa; Nematoda; Chromadorea; Rhabditida; Ascarididae.
GUAAGUUGUAGUAAAGUAGAGUUAGGGGAACCUGGCUCUA